Molecule: long non-coding RNA, 660 nt
Filed under: Amborella trichopoda
Lineage: Eukaryota; Viridiplantae; Streptophyta; Magnoliopsida; Amborellales; Amborellaceae
Description: long non-coding RNA (ATRI_LNC002429)
Source: RNAcentral
AUAAAAUAUAUAUGACUAUUUUUAUUUUUUUUGAAAAACGAACAAAAAAAAUAAGUUCCUUUCUUGCUGAUUUCACAUAGAUAAACAAAGAAAAUAAAGAAAUCCUUGUUUCUCUCUCUAGAACUACAAGAAACCUGCAAAUUACAUAGAAAAACCCCAUUGCACCACGGUCUUUUUGCUGAUUUUACAGAAAAAAACUCAAAAAAAUGAAAAAGGCCUUGUUUCUCUCUCUAGAGCCUCAAGCUUUGAAACCUGCAAAUUAUAAAGAAAAACCCCAUUGAAAAAUUACAAAGAAGAAGAACAAACAGGAACCUUAAUGAAGAGUAGAACGAACCUUGUUUGCAAGAAUCUUGUUCUUAAGCCGGUGGUUUCUCUUUGAAACCUCGAUGCUCUUACUGCUCAUAAACCUAGUUUUGUAGCCGUUCCUUCCAUAAUCCUGAAAAUACGAGGUAUGAUUGCGCGUCGAUAUUGAAUGAAUAUGCAUCUGCUCUGAGACUCACAACAUGCGAAGAGGAAUUGUGGCACUCCCCUCCCUUCCUCCGACUCACAAAAAUUCAACCCCUUCCACGAAUUUUGUAGCAGUUCUCCCAUUCUUUCAUCCUCUCAUCUACGCCUUCUCUCUCUAUAAAGUAGAAACAGAUGACCCAAACCCACAUACAA